RNAcentral lists this ribosomal RNA (488 nucleotides) under uncultured bacterium. RNAcentral describes it as "bacterial SSU rRNA". It matches the Rfam family "Bacterial small subunit ribosomal RNA", at positions 15 to 518 of the family's 1533-position model. The record is from RNAcentral.
GAUCCUGGCUUAGAAUGAACGCUGGCGGCAUGGAUUAGGCAUGCAAGUCGAACGAGAAAGCGCCUUCGGGCGCGAGUAAAGUGGCGCAAGGGUGAGUAACACGUGAGGAACCUGCCCCCGAGCCCGGAACAAGCCUGGGAAACCGGGCCUGAAACCGGAUGAGGCCCCCGGCCGCAUGGUCGGCGGGCCAAAUAUUCAUAGCUUGGGGAUGGCCUCGCGUCCCAUUAGCUUGUUGGCGGGGUGACGGCCCACCAAGGCGACGACGGGUAGGUGGUCUGAGAGGAUGGUCACCCACACUGGGACUGAGACACUGCCCAGACUCCUACGGGAGGCUGCAGUCGAGAAUCUUCCGCAAUGGGCGCAAGCCCUGACGGAGCGAUGCCGCGUGAGGGACGAAGGCCCUAGGGUUGUAAACCUCUGUCGUCCGGGACGAAACCAAUGACGGUACCGGGCAAGAAAGCCACGGCUAACUACGUGCCAGCCGCAGC